UACGGAGGGUGCAAGCGUUAUCCGGAAUCAUUGGGUUUAAAGGGUCCGCAGGCGGGAAGAUAAGUCAGUGGUGAAAUCUCACAGCUCAACUGUGAAACUGCCAUUGAUACUGUCUUUCUUGAAUUCGAUCGAAGUGGGCGGAAUGUGACAUGUAGCGGUGAAAUGCUUAGAUAUGUCACAGAACACCGAUAGCGAAGGCAGCUCACUAGGUCUGGAUUGACGCUCAGGGACGAAAGCGUGGGGAGCAAACAGG
Molecule: ribosomal RNA, 253 nt
Filed under: uncultured bacterium
Lineage: Bacteria
Description: partial 16S ribosomal RNA
Rfam family: Bacterial small subunit ribosomal RNA
Source: RNAcentral